This 533-nucleotide ribosomal RNA is filed under the name Cryptococcus deneoformans. RNAcentral's name for it is "Cryptococcus neoformans var. neoformans partial 28S ribosomal RNA". Lineage: Eukaryota; Fungi; Basidiomycota; Tremellomycetes; Tremellales; Cryptococcaceae. The record is from RNAcentral.
UGUUACUUGGAUUAGAAAUGCCACUGUAAGUUGCAAUAUCCUCGUCACCAAAAUGUGGAACAUUACUUAUGAUCAUUCCCGGCUAGACUGGUUUAGGUUCCGGUGAACGAGCCUACAUUGAGGCUCGGGAGAAACUUGUCCAACCUGUAAUCGAGCAGAUGAUGGCUGCCCGAGGGCUCGAAACUCCUCCCCGGACACCUAACAUCGGUGUCGCCUUGGCCGGCGGUGGUUACCGUGCAAUGCUGUGAGUGGAUUAAUGUUGCAAAAGAUAUGCUCAUUACUUAUCAUUGGCACAGUACGGGGUUGGGUGGUAUCAUGGGCAUGAUGAAUGAGAGCACGGAAGCGUCCGAAAGCGAGACUGGUGGUUGGCUUGACGGCGUAAGCUACUGGGCUGGUCUGAGCGGUGGGAGUUGGGCAACCGGGACUUUCAUGUCUAAUGGGGGUCAGUUGCCCACAAAUCUUCUUGAAAACGUGGGUUUCUGGCAUGAUGUAUGUGUUCAUCUACUGACUUGCGUGAUAGCUCUGGAACAUCG